GCCGCUUAAGGAAGGGGCCAUGCCCCACCGGCGGGGCGGGGGCCAGCUGCGCGUCGCGCUCUGCCCCGCCCUGCCUUGGGCGCGGCGCACUUGGCACAAGCAGCAAAUAAUGGCUUCGGGGGGCGCGGACGGUGCUGGCCGCGGUGGCUCCGAGGCGACGGCCGUCGGGCGGCCCGUUAACGCCGGGGCGGGGGGGCUUCCUCCUUCCCCCCCUCCCUCCCCUGUUGGUUCGGCCCGUCCCGCCCCUCCCGAGCCCGUGACAGGUGGAGCGGCACCCGACGCGUGCGCGCGCCCCCGCCCGCGGCCGUCACGUGGCGCCGCGCGCGCCUCGCGCGAGACUCGCGGCGCGAGGGGUCUCGCGAUGCCUCGGCGGCCCCGGGGCGUGAGGGCGGGGAAGGGCCCGGCCCGGCCCGGGCGGGGAGCGGCGGGAAAGGCGCGAGGGAGGGGAGGGAAGAGGAAAGCCUGGGAAUUCGGGCUUCUGGGGACGCCUCGCGCGUGAAUAAAGUCCUGCCUGUACCUCCUGCCCCUGGCAGCUGUGAUGGUGUCCAUUCGUGUGUAUUCCAAAUGUGGACUGCUUUCAUUUGUAGGAAUAGUCUUGGAAGGAGGAGACUGAGACCUACCAGAGCACCUCAUUUGGCCCCCUCCCAGCCACCCUGUAUCCUGUGAUCCAGCCAGGGAAUAACAAUCACCUGCACCAAUAGUUCUCCCAACAGCAGUGUGCUCUGAGCGUUGCCCUUCCUGAUCGUCCUCAUCACGCGACACAACGUGGGUUCAAAAUUUGGAUCCCAAAUCUGUGGCACGUGUGCAGACAAACUUCAAGGCAGUCAUCCCAGCACAGAGUCAGCUUUUGCCAUAGGAGCAAGCUUGGGUACUGCUGGCAUGGCAUUGUCUCAAAUUCCUAAGAAAAAAAAUAGGAAUUACCUGCAACAGUUAAUGCAGGGAGAAGCAGGGCGGGUACUGUACGAGAAGUUUCUCGAAGUCUUUCUGUCAGCACCACCUUUUGCUUUCAUGUGAUUUUGCAUGUUAAAGUCUGGGGCACAAUCCUUGAACAAAACAACAACAACUCUUUUUCCAUUUAAAGAAAGUCUGGGUAGAAUAGCCCUCCAGCAGGUUAUUGGGGCAGACUUUCAUUCCUGUACAUAUUAGAAACGUGUGGGAAUAGAGGUAACCAGCCAGCCUGUAUCCCAGACUGAUGCCUGAAGGUUCCAUUGUUUAUUUUUUCACAUCAAUAACAAUAUUUUAAAAAUACCUUUUCGGCUGAACCUAUUUACACACUCUCAGAUGGCUCUUGUUCUUUUUGUCCUUCCUUGGCUGUCCUACAGCCUUGUAAUGGAAAUCACUGCACAGUUUUCUGCUCAGCCUUUGGAUUUCUAACUCUUUUUAGGGGAGAUGUGUGUGCUCCACAAGUGAGUUUUUCCAGGAUUCUUCCUUGUCACGCUGUAAAACUGAUGCAAAGCACGUCCUGCUGUUUUUCUAAGCAGAGGGAGAAAUUGUGUCAUCCCCCACAACAGGCUCUUCAUUGCCACUUGACCUGUCUCCAGUCCACUGUUCAGUCCUAUCCAUAGGUAACCUCUCUUUUUAAUGGAAAGUGUUUUGGUUUAGAAAAAUGUCUGUGUUUCUCGUGUGGGUUUUUGCCCUCACUUUACUUCAAUUUGUACUUCAAUAACAAAGCAACUGAAUAAAAUAUAUAAAAACCCAUUUUUUUUCUGAAAUUAAGUGAACUUCAUCCAAGCUCAAAAUCCUGACAGUCACUUUUAACAUUUGGAAGAUUUUGCAAGCACACACUGAAAAAAAUAUUUUGACGUCUAGGUUGUCAGAUAAUCUGUCAGCAACACUUAUAUCAUUCAGGGAGAGAACUGUUAAUUUCCAGAGUAAUUUAUUUGGAAAAUAAUGCAUUUACUGCAGUGGAAUAUCCUGCUGGAUGCUAGAAAAGCUACUUAGCAUUUGUGCAGGCAGAGUAGUUGGCUUCAGAACGUGGGUUAUUCUCUUGCGACAAAAACACAGGAAAAGAAAUUCUUGCCAGAAACCAUCAGUGAAAAGCAGGUACCUGCAAAGGGCAGGAUGGUCAGAGAUGGGCAGGAAGUGUUAGGAACUCCAUGCAGAAGGAUGGAAUGCCUGGAGAAAAGGGGAGGAGUGCUCAGGGUCACACUCUUUAAAGAAUAGGCUCAUGGGGCACAAUGGAUCAUACACCAAAUGCUUUACUUGGAAUAAUCUUUAAAUGCCAGGGAAGUUCUCAGCACUGUGGUGCUGUGCCCAGAAAAAAAACCCAAAAAAAUCUUCCAAUUCUGCUUCAGUUUUCUCUGUCCAUUUGUUUAUCCAUUACAAAUUGAUCUUGUUUCUGUAGGAAAAUGUCAGAGCAUUAUGUGUAAUGAUGGUGAUGAUCAUCCCCAAAGGGUCCGAGGACUAAAGCCCAGGUCUUGUCUGCUUGUGCUGUGGGAUGGUGUCAGUCUGAGGCUGCAUCAUGUUUCAUGUGGCAUAAUUUGUGUCCCAUCCUGAUUUACACAUAAAAUUUAAGUUAUAACUGUGAUUUCUUGUAAAGAAAAUAUGUGCUUUUUCCAUGCAUUUUACUGUGUAAUUAACAAACAGUAAAUUUGUUACCCUGCUUAUUGCUUUUGUUGGCAAUGAUGGCAACAAAAGCUGUGAUUUUGCAGGAAUAAGCAAGGCCAGGUCAUGGAGGAAGACUGGUAACUUUAAAGAUUAUUCAGCACUUAAAGAAAGGUAUUUGCAACAUGGGCAAUCUCAGCUUUCAAAUUCUUCUUAACUCUGUCCCUGUCUAAUUACUCAACCAAGUCUCACUGGCACUUACCUUUCAUUGAUGGUCAAUGCCACUCUCAGAGCUCUGUCAAGCUGCUUCUUCCAGAGGCUUUUUUUUCUGUGCUCCCCCUGAUGCAGGAGAUGUUUCCUCUUUUCAGACAGACAAAGCCAUUAGAUCAAGUUGAUGAAUUUUGCUCUGAGUUUCCUGUGUUCUGAGUCACUUUUAGAAAUUGCAAAACAAAAUGUAUAAGACACCCUCUUAGAUUAUUAGACCUUACCUCAUCUACAUCAACCUUUUAUUCUGUUGCCAUUUUUAGUGGAAAGACAACAUAACAUUAUUGUGGGAACUUCUGUGUUUUAUCAUGUUCAUUUAACUUCAGUGAAACUAAAAAAUUAUAAACUCUUGCCAUAUUCAUCUUUAUCCUCCUUAUUUGUCCUUAUACAUUCUUUUGUUUCUGAGGCAAAUCAGAAGAGGGGGGAAAAAAAAGGGUGAGGGUAAAAGGAGGAAAGAGUAAAAGAAGAACAAAACAAAGGAGAAAAAAAAAAGUUUUUAUACUUAUUCUUGGAAAUUUUAACUUGAGGAAAUACCCUAUUUAAAGGGUUUACAGUUAUUUCAUAUAGAAUAACGGUACUUUUGUCUUUCUAAAAAAUUCUCUGCCAUUUCUACUGUAAAAUUAGCAUAGCUCCACCAGGUCAAUUGAGGACAAGUUGCACAAACUUUAGCCACUGUAUUAGCCCACAUUUAAUAUGUUUUAAAAUACUUCAUCCGAGUUGACAAGAUGCACAUAUGGUUUCUGAGUUAUGGAUUGAAGGGCUGUAGCUUUUAGCCUUCCUUUCUGUCUCCUCACUGUCAUAUUUCACUCACAAUCUUACUGCAUCAGACUUGGAUUAUCAGCCUUUUUUGGUCCAUAAAGCAUCCAGCAUAUUAAUGUUUUGCAUAAAUUACAAGAAAUUUAAUCCAAAAUCAACUAAAAAAUAUUAUUUUGCAAAAUCACAGCAGAUUUUAAAACUGAGCAGUCCCAGCUUUUCGGAAUGCAUUGUGGAUGUUGUCGUGAUUUAUGUGCUGUCAGUUAUUUUUGUAUAUGUUGAAAAAAACCUGACAAGUUUCUAUCUCACAUUUCAUAAAUCAGGGUUUUCUGUAUACAAAGCACGUGUCAGAAAUCAGUAUCUAAACAACAUGCCAGUUGGCUUCUCCAUGUGGCAGCUUGUAAACAAAAAUAUUUGGGGACUGCGCAUUUGUGACAUGACAUGUAAUGCGAUGUAUAAACACCAGCUAUUGGGAAAUAAUCCUGUUCCUCUACAUUGCUAAUAAAAUGAUAAAUCGUGCUUGCACUGCUGCAUCACAGUUCAGUGGGUGAAACUUUCCAAAUUCAGGUGGUUCUGUUGUUUUUUUCCAAGUAGGUGUAUGGAGAGGUUAAAUACUUUGUUAGUGACCUAUCUGUGCAUCAGAGGGCUAUGUCAGAACUGACGGGGUGUUUUGUGCAUUUAUGUUAUUUGGAAAUUUUUUCCCCCCAUAUUAAUUGUGUUUUGGUCAGAGACAAAUUCUGGUUAUACUGAAAUCAGUGAAGGAUUUUCCACCACCUUCCAUGGGAUCAGGAAUCAGCUGUCAGAGGACAGGGGAAUUACCAGGGCAAAACAGCUGUUCACACAGUGCAGGUUCCAAGACGUGAAUCAGCAUCCACGAGAUGUCAACUCGAUAUGAUGAGAACAGAAGAUACAAUACUGCAAAGUAUUUCAUUCUGUGAAGGCCAAACCAAACAGGACAAGUCUUGUGGAGAAGAUGCAGAGACACAUUAUUACAUCUUCCCAGUGUAAAUGCAGCUGGAAAAGGCUACAGCAGAUCACGUCUAAGGAAUAAAAGGUUGAGCAGGAUAUGGGAAAACUAGAAUGAACUAAAAGUAGUUGCUGUCUGACUGGAUGCUGUUUAAAUGACCAUUGCAACACAGAGGGUUUGAAGCAGGGCUGAGGAUCAUCAACAGGCCUAAUAUUAGUACAUCACAAAGUGCAGGACAUGAAAGUAAUUUAAAACACCCAAGAAUUUUUAUUAUUCGUCAAUGAUGCAGGUUCUUUUAACAUUUUAUCCAUUUUUUUGUUGUUGUCAAGCCGGCAAAUAAACAUUCAUAGGAUCCUGUAUAAAAUAUGAUUUCUUUUUGUUCUUUUGCUGCUACAUCUAGUUAAAUAGCCUGGCAUUUCUGUUCAUAUGUCUUGUUUUGUUUUGUGCCACAUCCAUUUUUGCAAAAUCUGACACCAAAUAAGGAAAAAACAACUAAUGAACUGUGCAAUAGGUAAGUAGCUUCCUAGUGUUGUGACAAGGGAGGAAAAAUACUGGGUUUAUUCCCAUAAAUCAAAGUAAUCAUGCAAAUAUUGAACUUUAUAACCUUAAUUUGUUCUCAUAUGUUUCAAAAUUCCACUGCUACUUUCAGCCAAACAUAAAUUAAUAAUGGUUCCAAAUGCCUGUAGAUUAUUUAAUUAAAACAGAGUAAAUUCAUUUUUCAUUCUCAGCUAAGUGACAUAAAACAGACUUUGCAGGGAGAAGGCCAUGCUCAGGAUUCUGAUGUCCCUGAAGAUUCUUUCAAGAAUUUUGAUAAAGUCUUAACUGUUUUCUUCCUUUUGUAUUAACACACUCUGUGGUGUUUUCUCUUUACAGUAGAUGUCCAUAAUCCCAAAUUAUAUUUCUGUCCAAGGUUUGUGGGGCUUUUUUUGGUAGUUUAAGUGUUCUUUUCCUGUUUUUUUAUGUCUGAUGGUCUUCCUGCAGACUUUCUGUGGACUUUUGUAGUUCAGACUAAUUUGUUUAAUUGAUAAAUAGUUUUGCACAAAAUUUUGUACUCCCAGCCAUGUGCCCUUUUGCCCAGUUAGUUUUGUAAUUAUUUCAAAAGAAGGAAACUGAUAAGUCAUAUAGGAAAAAAAGGAAGGAAGCUGAUUAUUGUCAAUUAACAUAAAUUCUGACAUGCAAACACCAGAGAGGAAUGAAAUAAUGCAAAAGCAGGCUGAAAACAAAAACUGUCGUACUCCUGGCCAACUUCUGUGAUCACAUUUGAAAUACUGAUUUCAGUUUCAUCUUGUUAGCAGAAAAAUAACUAGGGAAGUUACAAAAGAACAGAAAACUGGCAGGGAGAUUAAAAGUUAUGAUUUAAACAGCAAGAUGUUAAAAAAAAAACCCAAACAUGAAAUUGUUACUGAUUAUCUUAAUUAGCAAUCUCUUGAGGAGUGGGUGGAGUUACUAAGCUCCCUAAGGUUUGGAUCCCAAGGUUUGACAUUACGUGUUUACAGUUUCAGAGACUAAAAUUAUCAGGGAAAAAAAGGGAAUAUUGACAGUGUUUAUUGUGCUUCCUGGUUAUCCCAUUCCCAAAUUUGUGUGUACUUCUAAAACGGGCUUAAAUAUUCAGGAUUGACAUACAAUUGAAGUAGAUAAACUGAGGGAGCCCUACAGCAUCUGGUAGGGACCUAAAGUGGAACUCAUUAAGUAAAAUGAAAGAAAAUAGAUGAAAUUUUAAAAUACAAGAUUCAGGCUAAUUAUGAGCAAACAUUUAGUUACUGAAGUCUGCAUGGCAGCAUAAAUCAUUCCUUUGAACAUUUAAACUAGAUAGGAAAAGACAUGGAAAAAUCGGUGAUUAAUUCUGUAUUGGUUGGAUGUAUUAGGAUGACUAAUAGAAUAGGUUUUUAAUAUAUAAAAUCUGUACUGCAUCCAUCUGAAACUGCAUAUACAGGCAUGCAAGGGAUACAAGAAUUUGACCCUAUAAUUGGUAAAAUCCAAUGACUUCAGUUUGGCGAGACAGCACCAAAGUACUCUGUGCUGCAUGAGAAUGAAGACUAUAAAUAAGUAAUGUAUUUAUUUUUAAAUAAAUGGGAACAAGUAAAUUUUCCCAUAUCCCUAAAUGCUCAUAAAUCAUUGUGAUUUACUGUGUCAGUCUUAUUUUUCAGUUCUGCCAUCUAUUUCAGUUCUCUUUAAAGACUGUACAUAUGGAGAGAUCGACUACAAGAUUUUCAGUCUCUGGAAAUCCAUAUCUGCCAGGAAAAAAAUGUCUGGAGGCCAAGAUUAUCCCUUUACCUACAGGAAGAAGUGGCAGCACUUUUAAUUAGGCAUUGUCCCAACCAGAACUGCAUAUGAAAGCUCUGUUACCUCAGGGUCUCUGGGAUAUAGCCUGCCUUUGUAUAAAGAUGUGUGUUGAAGAUUUACUGGAAGGAAAGCAAAUAACAGGGCUCAUGAGUAACAUUUGAUGUGCUUUGGGUGCUGCAGGUGUGGGCAGCUCAGCUGGAGGUGUUGUAUGAAGGGCCCAAGCAUCACAUCAGCCCAGUCAUAGGCCACUGUUCCUGCUGACCAGAGCGCUGGGAGUGAACAGGGAGACUGGAGCUGAA
This is an RNA transcript of Corapipo altera (White-ruffed manakin), 7110 nucleotides long. It is a transcript of the gene named translation initiation factor IF-2-like, with no coding region annotated. The record is from RefSeq and is a predicted model, not a curated record. The transcript has 3 exons. NCBI's taxonomy places the organism in Eukaryota, Metazoa, Chordata, Aves, Passeriformes, Pipridae.